RNAcentral lists this unclassified non-coding RNA (332 nucleotides) under soil metagenome. RNAcentral describes it as "partial contains 5.8S ribosomal RNA, internal transcribed spacer 2, and large subunit ribosomal RNA". The stretch from base 1 to 120 matches the Rfam family "5.8S ribosomal RNA", at positions 35 to 154 of the family's 154-position model. The record is from RNAcentral.
GAUGAAGAACGCAGCGAAAUGCGAUAAGUAGCGUGAAUUGCAGAAUUCAGUGAAUCAUCGAAUCUUUGAACGCACAUUGCGCCCUUUGGUAUUCCUUAGGGCAUGCCUGUUCGAGCGUCAUUUAAACCUUCAAGCUCAGCUUGGUGUUGGGUGACUGUCCGCUUCACCGCGGACUCGCCUCAAAAUUAUUGGCGGCCGGUACAUUGGCUUCGAGCGCAGCAGAAACGCGAACUCGGGCCCGUCGUAUUGGCUCCCAGAAGCUAUCUUCACAAUUUUGACCUCGGAUCAGGUAGGGAUACCCGCUGAACUUAAGCAUAUCAAUAAGCGGAGGA